Aedes aegypti (yellow fever mosquito) is the source of this 962-nucleotide long non-coding RNA. RefSeq lists it as uncharacterized. NCBI's taxonomy places the organism in Eukaryota, Metazoa, Arthropoda, Insecta, Diptera, Culicidae. The transcript has 3 exons. The record is from RefSeq and is a predicted model, not a curated record.
CUUCGCCAAUCGAUGAUAUCCGUAAUGGAUUGUCUUCUUAUUCUCGCAGUCGGGGCAUCUCUGCCGGUUGAGGGCACCGGCCUUCCUCCGGUGGAGCUCUGCCUUGUUCUGACACCAACAACAAGCACUGAUUACCUGCGUUGCGUUUGCGUGACGCAUCCACAGAUCCGACAGAGUUUGGAUUCCGCACAAGGGUUCUUCAACCCUUAAAUAGCCGCGUAUUCAAACUAGCCGAUCAUACGCUCCUUGCCUUCGUCACAUCCGUUCCAUCCAAGCAGUGUGGAAGAGGAAGUGAGAUUUGGCAGAUUACUGGUUCCGGUUCAAUCUUCUGAACCAACCGCGAAACCUUCGCCAAUCGAUGAUAUCCGUAAUGGAUUGUCUUCUUAUUCUCGCAGUCGGGGCAUCUCUGCCGGUUGAGGGCACCGGCCUUCCUCCGGUGGAGCUCUGCCUUGUUCUGACACCAACAACAAGCACUGAUUACCUGCGUUGCGUUUGCGUGACGCAUCCACAGAUCCGACAGGGUUUGGAUUCCGCACAAGGGUUCUUCAACCCUUAAAUAGCCGCGUAUUCAAACUAGCCGAUCAUACGCUCCUUGCCUUCGUCACAUCCGUUCCAUCCAAGCAGUGUGGAAGAGGAAGUGAGAUUUGGCAGAUUACUGGUUCCGGUUCAAUCUUCUGAACCAACCGCGAAACCUUCGCCAAUCGAUGAUAUCCGUAAUGGAUUGUCUUCUUAUUCUCGCAGUCGGGGCAUCUCUGCCGGUUGAGGGCACCGGCCUUCCUCCGGUGGAGCUCUGCCUUGUUCUGACACCAACAACAAGCACUGAUUACCUGCGUUGCGUUUGCGUGACGCAUCCACAGAUCCGACAGAGUUUGGAUUCCGCACAAGGGUUCUUCAACCCUUAAAUAGCCGCGUAUUCAAACUAGCCGAUCAUACGCUCCUUGCCUUCGUCACAUCCGUUCCAU